Molecule: long non-coding RNA, 331 nt
Filed under: Homo sapiens (human)
Lineage: Eukaryota; Metazoa; Chordata; Mammalia; Primates; Hominidae
Description: non-protein coding lnc-CBR3-1:3
Source: RNAcentral
GAAUGAUCACAAAUAACCCUACCUGCGGUGUUGUUCAUGUGGAUGGUGACAAGACCUACUGCUGGACAGAAGGUCUUUUAGCACAGGUGCUGCCUUUGGACUUUCCAGUGCCUCAGCAUCAGCCUGGGGAUCACGUUCUCAUCAAAGAGGGGAAAGAAGGGAAACUCGAGCCAGCCCGGGAAGGACCCUACCUUGUGCUGCUAACCACUGAGACUGCUGUUCGUAAGGUUGGAAAGAGAUGGACACAUCACACAUGAGUCAAGCAAGCACCAUUAUCCUCAGAAUCAUGGGCCAUUGUUCCUGGAUCAAGCCCUACCAAAUUAAAGCUAAG